This 195-nucleotide unclassified non-coding RNA is filed under the name fungal sp. Its description in RNAcentral is "partial internal transcribed spacer region". The stretch from base 1 to 46 matches the Rfam family "Eukaryotic small subunit ribosomal RNA", at positions 1786 to 1831 of the family's 1831-position model. Lineage: Eukaryota; Fungi. The record is from RNAcentral.
AAGUCGUAACAAGGUUUCCGUAGGUGAACCUGCGGAAGGAUCAUUACAGUUUGUGCUUUAUUGCAUAUACACCUUGGUUUAAUUUAAACUUGCUUUGCCGGGAGAAAUCACGGCGGAGAAUACACUAAAAACAUUUUAUUAUUAUUCAAAAACUAUUAAAUAUCAAAACUUUCAACAACGGAUCUCUUGGUUCUC